Molecule: long non-coding RNA, 1705 nt
Organism: Odontomachus brunneus
Lineage: Eukaryota; Metazoa; Arthropoda; Insecta; Hymenoptera; Formicidae
Exons: 2
Source: RefSeq, a predicted model, not a curated record
AUGGGAAUGAUUCAGAAGCAAGGAAAUUGGGUUUCUAAAGUGAAAAAAUAUGAAGAAGUCCAUCUAAGAAAAAAGAAAAUUCGAAGCAACAGGAAAAGGAAAUAAAUUAGAUGGUAUAAUCGUAAAAAAAUUAUUUAUCUUUGUCUAUAUAACAAAGUUCGGCAAACGAUACACCUUUCAGUCAAUUUUAGGGAACGUCCACCCAGUGUUGUUCCCCUUGCCUUGUCGUCUAGCAUGUAAAAUGUAUCUCUUGCCGAGCUCUGCCACAUAAUACUAUUGUCAUUUCAAGAUAUAUAAGGUGUUUUAUAUAGAGGUUAUGUAAUACACAUUUUUGGUAUACCCAGAUAGACAAACGAACCUACAUUUGAUAACAAUUAUACUGAUAUUAAAUCACACAAUGCAUGGAUGUAAACGUUACAUCCCUUAUGAGUUAGUUACGUGCCAGUCAUAGAUGCAACAUAUAAUGAAACAAUAGAUAUACAAAAAAAACUAUCAGAAUUUAAUUAAUAUUUAAAAUAGCAUUUAGUCAAUUUAUUGUUACAUGAAAAUGAAAAAAACAUUUCAUUCCAGCAUGUUGUCUAUUUAAUAAUUAAUUCCAACAGGCAGAAUCAUCUCCAUAAAUAUAAUAGAUUAUAGUUCUACGAUUCAAUUGCGGUAUAUAAUGACAAUCGUGCGUCUAUGUACAUUUUUUUAGAUACUUGAAUCAUAUUGUAUGUUUCAACUUAAAACACAAGUUAUACAGGAUGAUUGAAAACAACCUGAUGUCCUUGGAAAUACAUAAUUCAGACUAGAUUCUGAAACGUACAAAACGUUGUCCAAACGUUGUCUAGUUUUUAUAUGAUAAACAGUAAGUGUAUUUAGUUUGCAUAUUAUAGUACAGAUACAGGAGAUAGGCAGUGGCGGCGCAACUCAGACAUGGGUGUUUAUGUCUGUCAGCUGUAGAAUCUGACCAUGAGUUGCAUUGUCAAUGUCUAUCGCCUGUAAAAAGCAAAGUGGUUUUUUUCAUUAUAAAAAAAACGGUUGUAGAUAUAAUGUUGUAAGAGGAAAAGUCGUCUCAAAAUAGUCAGGAUUACAUAUCUUCAAAAACAAGAAGUUGUUUCCAAUCAUCUACUUAUAUUUUUCUUAUAGAAAUGUAAUACCGACUAUGAUCAAUUGGUCAGUAAUAAAUGUCUAUCAGGGUUAAUUGUAAUGUAAUAAAGUUUUAGUAGUAAAUAAUACUUACAUAAUGCAAUCGAGCAGCAAGAUUUUCAGAUAGUGUCUUAUUAAAUUCGUUUAAUCUUUCCACAGUAAAAAUCGGCAAACCCAAAUCUAUCUCUUUUCCUUAUACUUGGUUUAAAUUUGAAUCUAAGAGUAUUUGUCUCAUGGAUAUCACUGUACGCAAAAUCAUUUUAAUGUCGUUCCGACAAACUUCUAUAUGGAAAACAUUUGCAAUAUAAAUAAUAAGUUUGCAAUUUUAAGGAACUAAUUCUACAAUUUCUAUUAGUAAAUAAUAAAAUUGUUAAUACACAAUAAUUAUAUUUGCAAACAUAAUAAUUCAUAUAUUUUGUGAUAUUGUAAUAAAUAAGUAUAAUUAAAGAGCGAAAAUGUAAACGGAUGAAAAUGUCAAAUAUACAUCAUUGUCCACGUGAACACUACUCGAAGUAUUAUAGCAAAUUGUAUUAUGGUAAAAAGAAAUACUAUUGUUUCAAUACUUUCUUCUUUUUCA